UACGGGGGGGGCAAGCGUUGUUCGGAAUUACUGGGCGUAAAGGGCUCGUAGGCGGCCAACUAAGUCGGAUGUGAAAUCCCCAGGCUUAACUUGGGAACUGCAUCCGAUACUGGAUGGCUUGAAUCCGGGAGAGGGAUGCGGAAUUCCAGGUGUAGCGGUGAAAUGCGUAGAUAUCUGGAGGAACACCGGUGGCGAAGGCGGCUCACUGGCUCGGUACUGACGCUGAGGUGCGAAAGCGUGGGGAGCAAACAGG
Molecule: ribosomal RNA, 253 nt
Filed under: uncultured bacterium
Lineage: Bacteria
Description: partial 16S ribosomal RNA
Rfam family: Bacterial small subunit ribosomal RNA
Source: RNAcentral